AAAGACGAACAACUGCGAAAGCAUUUGCCAAGGAUGUUUUCAUUUAUCAAGAACGAAAGUUAGGGGAUUGAAGACGAUUAGAUACCGUCAUAGUCUUAACCAUAAACCAUGCCAACUAGAGAUGGGAGGUCGUUACCUGAAGGACUCCUUCAGCACCUUUUGAGAAAUUGAAAGUUUUUGGGUUCUGGGGGGAGUAUGGUCG
This 202-nucleotide ribosomal RNA is filed under the name Hemiselmis rufescens. RNAcentral describes it as "partial Eukaryotic small subunit ribosomal RNA". It matches the Rfam family "Eukaryotic small subunit ribosomal RNA", at positions 931 to 1131 of the family's 1831-position model. Lineage: Eukaryota; Cryptophyceae; Cryptomonadales; Hemiselmidaceae. The record is from RNAcentral.